GAUGAACGCUAGCGGCAGGCUUAACACAUGCAAGUCGUGGGGCAGCAGGGGUAGCAAUACCCGCUGGCGACCGGCAAACGGGUGCGGAACACGUACGCAAUCUACCUUUAUCUGGAGAAUAGCUCGGAGAAAUCCGGAUUAAUACUUCGUAAUAUAUUUGGAAGGCAUCUUUUGAAUAUUAAAGCUCAGGCGGAUAGAGAUGAGCGUGCGUCCCAUUAGCUAGUUGGCAGGGUAACGGCCUACCAAGGCAACGAUGGGUAGCUGGUGUGA
RNAcentral lists this ribosomal RNA (270 nucleotides) under uncultured bacterium. Its description in RNAcentral is "partial 16S ribosomal RNA". It matches the Rfam family "Bacterial small subunit ribosomal RNA", at positions 28 to 295 of the family's 1533-position model. The record is from RNAcentral.